Molecule: ribosomal RNA, 253 nt
Filed under: uncultured bacterium
Lineage: Bacteria
Description: partial 16S ribosomal RNA
Rfam family: Bacterial small subunit ribosomal RNA
Source: RNAcentral
UACGAGGGGGGCAAAUGUUGUUCGGAAUCACUGGGCGUAAAGGGAGCGUAGGCGGGUUUUUAAGUCAGGUGUUUAAUCCCGGGGCCCAACCCCGGACAGGCACUUGAAACUGGGAAUCUUGAAUAGUGGAGAGGUCAGUGGAAUUGGGGGUGUAGCGGUGGAAUGCGUAGAGAUCCCCAAGAACACCCGUUGCGAAGGCGGCUGACUGGACACAUAUUGACGCUGAGGCUCGAAAGCUUGGGUAGCAAACGGG